This 74-nucleotide transfer RNA is filed under the name Candidatus Roizmanbacteria bacterium RIFCSPLOWO2_01_FULL_37_12. Its description in RNAcentral is "tRNA-Val". It matches the Rfam family "tRNA". Rfam says of the family: Transfer RNA (tRNA) molecules are approximately 80 nucleotides in length. Lineage: Bacteria; Candidatus Roizmaniibacteriota. The record is from RNAcentral.
GGCCGUUUAGCUCAAUUGGUUAGAGCACCUCGUUUACAUCGAGGGGGUUGAGGGUUCAAGUCCUUCAACGGCCA